RNAcentral lists this unclassified non-coding RNA (400 nucleotides) under soil metagenome. Its description in RNAcentral is "partial contains 5.8S ribosomal RNA, internal transcribed spacer 2, and large subunit ribosomal RNA". The stretch from base 1 to 122 matches the Rfam family "5.8S ribosomal RNA", at positions 35 to 154 of the family's 154-position model. The record is from RNAcentral.
GAUCAAGAACGCAGCGAAAUGCGAUACUUGGUGUGAAUUGCAGAAUCCCGUGAACCAUCGAGUCUUUGAACGCAAGUUGCGCCUCAAGCCAUUAGGUUGAGGGCACGUCUGCCUGGGCGUCACAUAUCGUUGCCUGAUGCCAGUUUCCUCGUGAUGGGUGACUGUGCAGGGCGAAUGAUGGCUUCCCGUGAGCAUUGUUGCCUCAUGGUUGGUUGAAAAUUGAGUCCUUGGUAGGGAGCGCCGUGAUAGAUGGUGGUUGAGUGACGAACGAGACCCAAUCAUGUGAGACCCCUACCGAAUUUGGCCUUCAUGACCCACAUGCGUCUUUGGAACGCUCAUGACGAGACCUCAGGUCAGGCGGGGCUACCCGCUGAGUUUAAGCAUAUCAAUAAGCGGAGGA